RNAcentral lists this ribosomal RNA (867 nucleotides) under uncultured bacterium. Its description in RNAcentral is "bacterial SSU rRNA". It matches the Rfam family "Bacterial small subunit ribosomal RNA", at positions 590 to 1451 of the family's 1533-position model. The record is from RNAcentral.
UGAUGUGAAAGCCCNCGGCUCAACCGUGGAGGGUCAUUGGAAACUGUUAAACUNGAGUGCAGGAGAGAAAAGUGGAAUUCNUAGUGUAGCGGUGAAAUGCGUAGAGAUUAGGAGGAACACCAGUGGCGAAGGCGGCUUUUUGGCCUGUAACUGACACUGAGGCGCGAAAGCGUGGGGAGCAAACAGGAUUAGAUACCCUGGUAGUNCACGCCGUAAACGAUGAGUGCUAAGUGUUGGUCUCAUAAGAGAUCAGUGCUGCAGCUAACGCAUUAAGCACUCCGCCUGGGGAGUACGACCGCAAGGUUGAAACUCAAAGGAAUUGACGGGGACCCGCACAAGCGGUGGAGCAUGUGGUUUAAUUCAAAGCAACGCGAAGAACCUUACCAAGUCUUGACACACUGUGAGGACACAAGAGAUUGUGUUGUUCUGACCUUUGGUUAGACACAGAUACAGGUGGUGCAUGGUUGUCGUCAGCUCGUGUCGUGAGAUGUUGGGUUAAGUCCCGCAACGAGCGCAACCCUUAUAUCUAGUUGCCAGCAGUAAGAUGGGGACUCUAGAUAGACUGCCAGUGAUAAACUGGAGGAAGGUGGGGAUGACGUCAAAUCAUCAUGCCCCUUAUGACUUGGGCUACACACGUGCUACAAUGGAUAGGAACAAAGAGAAGCGAGCUCGCGAGAGUAAGCAAACCUCACAAAACUAUUCUCAGUUCGGAUUGUAGUCUGCAACUCGACUACAUGAAGCUGGAAUCGCUAGUAAUCGCGUAUCAGAAUGUCGCGGUGAAUACGUUCCCGGGUCUUGUACACGCCGCCCGUCACACCACGAGAGUUUGUAACACCCGAAGACGGUGGCCUAACCUUUUAGGAGGGA